GCUUGAUUUAAGGUAUAUGUUGGUUAACUUAAGUUGCACCAAACACAAUAUUUUAGCUUAAAUUAAGCUAAAAGCUGAAAUAAACAGCUUAUAAGCUAUACCAAACAGGCCUAAUAACAGGGUAUAUAUUGACUACUAGUGUCCUAUGGAUCUCUUGAUGGUUGCAAAAUAAAUAGAGGUCAUUUUUUUGUUGUUGUAGUUUUAGCACGUGGAAUCUUCUUGUAGAUAAUUUUAUUUUCUUCAUGAGUAAAAUGAACAAUAUUCAGACUGCUAGUUAAUUUAAUGUCUUUUGCUCUCUGUUUCAGUGAAGUUUAUGAAUAAAAUUAUCUGCAAAUUAUUGGCUCAUUCACUGGCCCAGGUUAUACUAUAGGGAAGUUUGAAAGUAGCUAGAGGCAGGUCUGUAAUGAUAACAUAUGUGGAGAAUCUAAGCUAGAAUUGUUAACGAUCAAGAACAUCAUAUGAUAUCAACAUAUAAACACAUUUUGAUAAAUAAAAAAACAAUGACAAAAUGAUCUAAUAUAGCAAUAUAUUAGUGAUCAACAAUCUAAUAGAAAAUGUUAUUAUCAAUAACAAAUGAUGAAAUUUUAAUGUUAAGUGUCAGCAAUAAAUAGGAACAGCGAUUAUUUAAACUAUAUUAUUCUUGUGAAGGGAAGCUGAGAUGAAUGGCUUUGUAAAUGCACUUUUCAAUGACAACACUUACAUUGAUGGACCAUGCUAAUGAGACUUGGAGUAUUCCUACAAUCUGUAUCAUCAAAGAGAAAGAAUGGAACAACAAGAGUUGAGUAUCCAUGCUUCAGUUGUGCGUUCAUGAAAUGGAGAGAGAUGGGAUAGUUUUUACUAACUUCUGCAGCUCACAGUUGCACCUGUAUGAUCUGUAUGUUUUUGCAACACCUUAUAGGAUUACCUAGGAUUAUUAUUUCUCUGCCCAAGACCAUACUUUGAAAUUUGAAUCUUGGGAGGAAAAAGCAGAGCUGGAAUAUGUAUUAUUGUGUUCAUCAUUUUUUUUUGUUUUAUUCUUCUAUAGAAAUCUGUUAUAAAAUGUUGACUAUCUGACUGACCAUUGAGCAGGUAAAGCAGCAUGGAAUCUCUAUAUUUCUUAUGCCAUUAGGAAUGCUGGGGACCUUGCUAUCCUUAGUAGACGUCCUUUCCUUGUUGGCUUUUGGCUUUUUUAUGAGUUGAAAAAAGGGUUUUUUUUAGUUGAAUUAGUUGUGUGGAAAAAAGUGAUUGGCUGAUAUGUAUGAUGUGACAUUUUGAGUAAUGAAUUUUUGUAUAUAUAAUAUUUCAUCAAUUUUAUGUGUGUAUUCAACGUGAUUGUAUAAUCCAGUUUCGAUUACGCAACUUCGUACGGCCUUACAAGGUAUGCCAUUCACUUUCUCUCCCAAUCGAUCAAUUUCUCUUUGUCUCUCGAUCAUUUUUUCCCAAAAACUUUGAAUUCAUCAUUUGAUUUAAAGUCUAUUCUCGAAGACGACAUAUGCUAGUUUAACUAGUCAUAGGAUUUGCUUUCACUUUGAAUCAGAGCAGAGGUUUUGCUAGUUACAGUUGCUAUCAUGACUUAAUGGUCAUGCAUGAUUUUCAGUGGAUUGUGUGGUUCAAUGAUAGAAGUGAUGAGCAUAGUAUUUCAAGUUUUUUCACAACUAAAUUAACAGUUGAGUUGUUUCAAUUAUGCCUCAUCCAAAUAGCUGCAAUAUCAUAUUCUAACUUUUGGCUACCCAAAAUUGGGUCUAACCAACCAUCCAACUAAUGGAGGAUAUACCUAAUGGCAUAUCCUAUGACUAGUUAGAAGGAGAAAAAUAAAAUUUGGCACACCCACACACCAUCUAGUGGUCAGAAAUGGUUGGCCCUAUAGCUUAUCCCAUUAUUUACCUCAUCCUAACUUAAACAUUGAAUAAUAUAUAUUCCUAUCAGAGAAAUUUAAUAUUGGAAUUAUCAUAUAUUAUUUUAAGGAUUAGUUAUCCCUCUAUUCUUAUUCAGAUUAAAUAAACACUCUAAAGAAGAUAAAUAUAACAAAGAAAAUGCUAAUAGCAGCCCUUUGGCUUGUAAAUAACAAUAAAAAAUGUAUAAAUAAUGUGUAAAAAUUAUAUUGAAAUUUUAACUUUGUUGGCCUUUUCUUCUUCUAAAAGCAUGACCCUAUAGGCGUGGACAUUGAUUUUUCUGUGCAAAUUUUCCCAUGCUUUUAGCAUUAUUGAGAGAAUAAACUAUGGCACUUCUUUAUCAGUCUCAGCUUUGAAAAUGAUUUCAGGUCAGAAUGGUUACAAAGAUAUUUAAGAUUACAAGGAAAUGAUACUAACUGAUUAUCUGUCACCAUUUCAUGAACAACUAUUCUUUCUCUUUAGCUCUAAUGAUAUGUCAUACAUCUUUGCACCCAAAUCUUUUCCUUCUAGUUUUGAAAACUCUCUAUUUUUUCCAAGUAGUUCAAGUAGCUCCAACUCCAAGAAAGUAUAUAAAUGGUUGAGAUAUGCUGGUCUCAAAAUGGCUUGUUGUUGUGUUAUCUGCGGCAAGUGAAGAUGGUGAUGAUGAUGAUAAUUCAGUGACUGAGACUUGAGAUGUUGACACCAUGGUGUUUGAUAAACAAGAAAGCUGAUUGUUACAGCUAAGUGAUGAGUGUUGCACUGCCAACAGCUGUGAAGGAUGGUGAUCAUAAUCAUCUCUGGGCACUAUUGGAUCCCAAAACUUGUACGUGGACAGUUAUUUCAUAGUGUAGAUCAAGUGAUUUAAAACUCUGGAUAAAUGCAUAAUCAGAUAGCAAAAAAUUGCCAUCUUUCAUAGUGUAGAUCAUGUCGAUAAAUGAAUCUUAUGAUUUGGAUAUUUUUUUUGAUUUGUAUGUCUGAGGUUGUUAUCAGCUUGAUAUGAUAGAAGUUGAGGAUGAAAGUUAGUAUGCAGGUUGUUUGGUGUAUGGAUAUUGGAUUUUUUUGCUUACUUCAUAAUUGUUGCUUUUGCUUGGUU
Molecule: non-coding RNA, 2943 nt
Organism: Camellia sinensis
Lineage: Eukaryota; Viridiplantae; Streptophyta; Magnoliopsida; Ericales; Theaceae
Source: RefSeq, a predicted model, not a curated record